CAGGAUUAAUGGGGACAAAUGAAAUUUCGUGCAGCCCAAGCAGGUACCCCAAGCUGGUGGAGAAGUGAACGAGUGAAAGAGGACAUCGGCGGGGGGCAGAAGGAGGGGAGACAGCCCCGCAGAGCAGGCCGAGCAAAGAAGCCCUUGCAAAGGAGCUGGCUGUUUCGCCUCACUCCGUUUUGGUGUCUGGCAGAACUUCUCCACCAGACCUCCCGUCCUGCAAGCUCCCUUCAGCCUCCAGCUUUGCAGCUGAGGUCCUUAUGUGGAGUUUGUUAUGAAAAUUUAAAACCUGCAGAACAGCUGAAAGACCUCCGCAGUGAGCACCACACGCCCACCACCUUGUGCCACCGUGACGUUUUGUUGGGUGCUGUGUCACAGUCUCUCCAACUCUCCGUCCCUCUCUCCGUCCGUCCACCCCUCUUAUUUUCGGACGCCCUCCUCAGUGCGGUGCAGGCAUCCGUGCCCGUCUAGGCCAGCACUUCCGCAUCACGUCGUUAACAGAGUUCAAUGUUUGUCACAGCUGUUUGUCUCUCUUGAGGUGAGCUUUACACACGAUGACACACGCGAAUCUCAGGUGUACCAUGUGUGAGUUCUGAUAAUGCCCGCACCCAUCGAGGGACCGAGCAUGGUGAUGACUCCAGAAAGACCCCUCAUGCCGCUUCCCAGUGAAUCCCCACCCCACCCCACCCCACAGCGUUCUGAGAUUGCCUCCCACAGGUUGGUCUUGCCUG
RNAcentral lists this long non-coding RNA (731 nucleotides) under Equus asinus (donkey). RNAcentral's name for it is "lncRNA (ENSEASG00005032364.1)". The record is from RNAcentral. Lineage: Eukaryota; Metazoa; Chordata; Mammalia; Perissodactyla; Equidae.